This 45-nucleotide ribosomal RNA is filed under the name Prorocentrum sp. IRTA002. Its description in RNAcentral is "partial 28S ribosomal RNA". Lineage: Eukaryota; Dinophyceae; Prorocentrales; Prorocentraceae. The record is from RNAcentral.
AAGACCUGAAGUAGACCAGCAAACCCGCUGAAUUUAAGCAUAUAA